Molecule: ribosomal RNA, 496 nt
Filed under: uncultured bacterium
Lineage: Bacteria
Description: bacterial SSU rRNA
Rfam family: Bacterial small subunit ribosomal RNA
Source: RNAcentral
GAUGAACGCUAGCGGCAGGCCUAAUACAUGCAAGUCGAACGGAUAUAUGUUUUUCGGAAUAUAUAUUAGUGGCGCACGGGUGAGUAACACGUACAUAACUUGCCCUCAAGCGGGGGAUAGCCUUGGGAAACUGAGAGUAAUACCCCAUAGAAUUAUUGGACGGCAUCGUUUGAUAAUUAAAACUACGGUGCUUGGGGAUAGAUGUGCGUCUGAUUAGCUAGUUGGUGAGGUAACUGCUCACCAAGGCGACGAUCAGUAGGGGGCGUGAGAGCGUGGCCCCCCACACGGGUACUGAGACACGGACCCGACUCCUACGGGAGGCAGCAGUAAGGAAUAUUGGUCAAAUGGAGGGAACUCUGAACCAGCCAUGCCGCGUGAAGGAUGACGGCCCUCUGGGUUGUAAACCUCUUUUGGCAGGAAACAAACCUGCGCUAUACGCGCAGCUGAGGGUACCUGCAGAAUAAGCACCGGCUAACUCCGUGCCAGCAGCCGCGGU